Long non-coding RNA from Homo sapiens (human), 1871 nucleotides. The record is from Ensembl. NCBI's taxonomy places the organism in Eukaryota, Metazoa, Chordata, Mammalia, Primates, Hominidae.
ACAGAAAACUCCACAGGCCUGGGCUCGGCUCAUCGCACAGCCUCCAUCUCUGGAUGCCCUGAUUCAAGGAGAUUCAAAACCCGUGUCACUGCUGCCAUCUUCCUAGAAUCCCUUUAAAUCCUCAUGGAUUUGCUGACAUUGGGAGCAUCCUGAAAGAGUCCCCAUGCUAGGGUGGCUGCAGUAACAGGUACAAUGAGAAAUGAUGGUUCUCCCCACUCCAGAAAAAAUCAAAUCAGAUUGUGAAUUUAUUCCCUGACAUUAACACACGGCAUUACAGGAGCAUGUACAUCACAUGGUCAAUUUAUUGGCAUGAGGAUUAUGUCAUCGGGGAAUAAAUGGGAAAUUCUCAAGGAGAAGCCAAGUUGUGAGCAGUGCACCUUCACAAGCAAAGCCUCGACUGAAAUCUUCUCUAACAAUUGGCUGGUCACUCCUGAGCGUAAUCUACCCCUUCAGAACACUGGGGAUGAAUUUAGAGACAUCGAAGCCUCCUGAUGAGAAAUACGUGUCCACUCACCGGGAGAACUGAAAUACCAGGAGAUUUCUACACAAAUCUCACAGAGUCCUUCUGGCGUCCUAGGGGUUUGCUCACAUAUAAGGGACUUUCUGGUAGGAAGAGAGUCUCUUUACAUUCUUUAUUAUAUGAUCCUGGUGGCUUUGUAGAGAGAUGGUACAGCUGACAGAUCAUGUCCUGUGGGGCCAGGGAGUUGUGUGUGUGUGAAUGCUCUGUGAACUUGGGCAAACUACUUAGCCUCUCUGAGCCUUAGCUGCAUCAGCUUUGAAAAACAGGAUGAUAAAAUGGAGUCACCUUAUUUGACUUUUAUAAAUACACUUACACAAUUACACAAGUUGUGGGGAUGGGAAGAGAGAGUUGGGGAAAGAGAAAUGAGAGAGAGAGAGAGAGAGAAUGAAUGAUAAACAAUUUAAACAACAGUGGGGUGUAGACCAACGCCCAGCCUGGCAAGGGUGAGCCCAGAGAGCCUUCCCUCCUGGCUAUUGGCAGCCUCCGCAUGGAAGCCUGUCGUUGACUUCUUAAUGAUGAGAGAUGUUCUGGGGGCACUCCAGGAUUCUUGGACAUGGGAUCGUCUUCACAGCUGUGUCUAUUGAAAGCUGAAGUUUCAGUCUCCCCUGCCCCCUGCCCCCUGGAGUGGCUUCCCAGGGGAAAUUCAAGGGCACCUGUGACUGCAUGGCUGCUUUCCUUUCCUUUACUCAAUGCCGUCCUUUGGUGACAGCCGUGUCUCAUGCCAGGAUACAUGAGGUGCUCUAUAGUAGUAUGUUUUCCCUCCUGGGAGGUAAUUUUAUUUAAAUGUGAAGUCAAAAGGAUCACUAAAUAGAACCAUGAGGCAACCACUCUGGGCACCUGCCUGGUGAUAUCCACAAGAGCUGACCACAGGUGCCCCCUGUGCCCAGCAAGUCCUUGGCUGGGCAGUCACACAACAGGCAUGGGGAUGUGUGGCCACCAAGCCCUCCAGGGCAGUGCUAUUUGUAAUAGUCCCAAAUGGGAGAGAUGGCAAACGCCCGCCAAUGGGGCAGCAUGGAUAAAUGGAUGCUGCACAGCAACGGCGAUGAGUGAGCCCCAGCACCCGUGAGCUCACCAGUGUAAUAUUGGGUGGAAGAAGCCAGGAGGAAGGGCAUUCACAUUCUGUGAUUCCAGCUACACUAUGUUUAAAUAUGGGCAGAGCUAGGCUGUGGUGCUGGAAGCCAGGACAGUGGGAUCCUUGCAUGGGGGUGAUGGUGCUGGUAGGUUCUGGUAAUUUCCUCUUCUUGAUCUGGGUGUAAACAUUUUGUGAAAAUUCAAUGAGCUGUACAUUUAUGACUGGUACAUUUAUGACUUUGUAUGAAUAUUAUACUUUCAUAAAACUACUUUAAAAUAU